Molecule: non-coding RNA, 784 nt
Organism: Drosophila melanogaster (fruit fly)
Lineage: Eukaryota; Metazoa; Arthropoda; Insecta; Diptera; Drosophilidae
Source: Ensembl
GUUUUUCAGUGGAGCAGGCCUGUCAAUUGCCGGGAGAUUGAUGCCCCUGGAUAAUAGCGACGCGAACAAUUUGCAGACGACAACACGCCGCAAAACCGAGAAGACAAACUUGGAGCUCCUUGGCCUUUUUUCCUGGCUAAAAUAAGACGGACAAAAAGAAAAACCAGAGACAGAUGGAGACGCGACAUCAUCUCCAACGGUGGUCUGUGGCGACAACUGAAUGACAACUCUUUAGGCCGUCCGCGCUAACGGUAUUUCAGCUGAGCAAGUUAUUUGCCCAAAAGCGGCCAGGAAAACAUUCGAAGUGUUGACAUGGCUCAGACGGGUGACAAAGGCGCAUGCGUGACACCCCCAGGAGAUGGAUGAUUAAUCCCGGGACGGGUAGGGGCAUUGGAAUUUGGUAUUGGAGUUCAAAGAUAAACCAAGACUUUGGCCAACUUCUCUAUGCAAUAUGGUAAACAAUUCUUUGCGUUCGAAGACAGGGACAAAUUCCUGGCCAGCUGUCCCAGCUCAAUUAGCCAUCAAGAUCACCGCGACUUUGACUCCGCGAACAGGGGAAUUGUUCUUGGCCAACAGCUGGAUGUUUGGAUGGCUGGUUGGCUGGGCAGACGGGAUGGAUGGAUAGACAAAGGCCCCAUUGUUCGGCCCUCCGGCAGGAUGCAAUAAAAUGCAGGUGCAUAUCCCACAUCCAUCUCCAGAUACAGCUUUGAAUUCAACUUCGACUGCAGUUGCACUUGAAAAAAUGUUUGUCAUAUGAUUUCUAUGAUUUUAUAACAUAUAUUUU